GAUGAACGCUGGCGGCGUGCCUAAUACAUGCAAGUCGAGCGAACAGACGAGGAGCUUGCUCCUCUGACGUUAGCGGCGGACGGGUGAGUAACACGUGGAUAACCUACCUAUAAGACUGGGAUAACUUCGGGAAACCGGAGCUAAUACCGGAUAAUAUAUUGAACCGCAUGGUUCAAUAGUGAAAGACGGUUUUGCUGUCACUUAUAGAUGGAUCCGCGCCGCAUUAGCUAGUUGGUAAGGUAACGGCUUACCAAGGCGACGAUGCGUAGCCGACCUGAGAGGGUGAUCGGCCACACUGGAACUGAGACACGGUCCAGACUCCUACGGGAGGCAGCAGUAGGGAAUCUUCCGCAAUGGGCGAAAGCCUGACGGAGCAACGCCGCGUGAGUGAUGAAGGUCUUCGGAUCGUAAAGCUCUGUUAUUAGGGAAGAACAAAUGUGUAAGUAACUAUGGACGUCUUGACGGUACCUAAUCAGAAAGCCACGGCUAACUACGUG
Molecule: ribosomal RNA, 497 nt
Filed under: uncultured bacterium
Lineage: Bacteria
Description: partial 16S ribosomal RNA
Rfam family: Bacterial small subunit ribosomal RNA
Source: RNAcentral